GUCUGAGCCUCGCCGGAUUUGAGUGUUAUUAGUGAACCCCAAAUCUUGAACCACCACGCGAAUCUCUCCCUCUCUCUUUCCCGUAAAGCACCACGCGAAUCUCUCCCCCUCAUUCUAAAUGACGGGCCGCCACGCUCUCGAAGCCGACGCGAAUCAAGUCCCAAAAUCAAGGUGAGCAAUUUAAAGUUGAAGAACCCCAUCCAGAGGUAAGGCAGGGCGAGCAGAUGAGGGCGCAAAUGAUGGCCCAUAGCGACCAGAUGAGGGCGCAGCUGAGGGCGCAAGCUGAGGUGAUGAAGAACUAUGCUGGGACAAUGAGAGACCUUGUACAAACCAUACAGAUGUUCGGCCUCCAAAUCUCGCUACAACCACCUCAUCUUGCUCCACCUUCAGAGCCACCUUGCCUUGCCGAUACCCAGCAGCCUGAUAUUAAACCUA
Long non-coding RNA from Malus domestica (apple), 435 nucleotides. RefSeq lists it as uncharacterized. The record is from RefSeq and is a predicted model, not a curated record. NCBI's taxonomy places the organism in Eukaryota, Viridiplantae, Streptophyta, Magnoliopsida, Rosales, Rosaceae.